Molecule: ribosomal RNA, 445 nt
Filed under: Bacillus velezensis
Lineage: Bacteria; Bacillati; Bacillota; Bacilli; Caryophanales; Bacillaceae
Description: bacterial SSU rRNA
Rfam family: Bacterial small subunit ribosomal RNA
Source: RNAcentral
UUGCUCCCUGAUGUUAGCGGCGGACGGGUGAGUAACACGUGGGUAACCUGCCUGUAAGACUGGGAUAACUCCGGGAAACCGGGGCUAAUACCGGAUGGUUGUCUGAACCGCAUGGUUCAGACAUAAAAGGUGGCUUCGGCUACCACUUACAGAUGGACCCGCGGCGCAUUAGCUAGUUGGUGAGGUAACGGCUCACCAAGGCGACGAUGCGUAGCCGACCUGAGAGGGUGAUCGGCCACACUGGGACUGAGACACGGCCCAGACUCCUACGGGAGGCAGCAGUAGGGAAUCUUCCGCAAUGGACGAAAGUCUGACGGAGCAACGCCGCGUGAGUGAUGAAGGUUUUCGGAUCGUAAAGCUCUGUUGUUAGGGAAGAACAAGUGCCGUUCAAAUAGGGCGGCACCUUGACGGUACCUAACCAGAAAGCCACGGCUAACUACGUGCC